Molecule: small nuclear RNA, 103 nt
Organism: Ochotona curzoniae (black-lipped pika)
Lineage: Eukaryota; Metazoa; Chordata; Mammalia; Lagomorpha; Ochotonidae
Source: RefSeq, a predicted model, not a curated record
GUGAUUUGGAAGCACAUAUAGUGAAACUGGAACAAUACCGAGAAGAAUGCAAUGGUCCCUGCACAAGAAUGCUACACACAUUGGAUUAGCAUUCCAUAUUUUU